ACCGCUGUGCGCGUCCCUAUCUACCGCCGCCCCUGGUACUCCGUUCAGCUCCCUCUCCCUGAUAUUCUUCAUCGCGUGGAGCUCUCUCCAACUCCGGCCAGAUCUCCCAGGUGCUCGGCCUCUAUUUCUUCUGCGGGAGCACGCCCAGCCGAGCGGCUCUUCCCCACGGCGUUGUUCUCCCUGCGCUCGCUCGGCCUUGAAGCUCCCAAGGCACGCACCCAGCCACCCCUCCGUUCUCCUCCUCGCCACGAUGCUCCAUGGCGCUCCUCGCUGCUCGCACAGCCAUCUUCCCCUUCCCCAUGGCCGUGGCCUCCCUGCAAGGAUGCGAGCCGGUGCCCAACCCGGCCGCUCGACCCUGCCAGUCCCUGUGUGCCGCGCGCAGCUUCCUAGUGCUCGGACUGCUUCUCAGCUCGCCCGGCCGGAGCGCCCUGCUCGCCCUCCUGCGUCGAACUCCCUCGCUGUACGUGCCGUCGAAGCUUCCCGGGCCGUGCGCUUCUCUGUCCCGACCACCAGCAUCCAAUUCCAGUAUUCUCGUCAUUGAAGAACAGUCCCCGCGCUCUGCGUCCUCGCCGCGUUUGUUUGCUUCAUGUGCGCAACAUGCCAUCGUCUUCGUGUUUUUAGUAAGUCAGCGAGCGCUCGCGCUCGCCAUCCUCUGCUCGACCUCGUUGACGAGCUUCGCCUUGCCGGUCAUUCUAGCUGCGACCCGUCGUGAAGCUCUCAUGUGGUGGUGUGCGUGAAGCUCGUAUAGUACCUGUCAAGCGCUUGAUAAAUUGCCUGGAUGAGAAAAUCAUUACCGUUC
This is an RNA transcript of Zea mays, 799 nucleotides long. RefSeq lists it as uncharacterized. NCBI's taxonomy places the organism in Eukaryota, Viridiplantae, Streptophyta, Magnoliopsida, Poales, Poaceae. The record is from RefSeq and is marked validated.